UCCUGGAUGAAAGAUGGUGUUGACUCCCAGU
RNAcentral lists this non-coding RNA (31 nucleotides) under Rattus norvegicus (Norway rat). Lineage: Eukaryota; Metazoa; Chordata; Mammalia; Rodentia; Muridae. The record is from RNAcentral.